RNAcentral lists this ribosomal RNA (427 nucleotides) under uncultured bacterium. RNAcentral describes it as "bacterial SSU rRNA". It matches the Rfam family "Bacterial small subunit ribosomal RNA", at positions 355 to 774 of the family's 1533-position model. The record is from RNAcentral.
UGGGGAAUUUUGGACAAUGGUCGCAAGCCUGAUCCAGCCAUGCCGCGUGCGGGAAGAAUGCCUUCGGGUUGUAAACCGCUUUUGUCAGGGAAGAAACGGUCUGGGCUAAUACCCCGGACUAAUGACGGUACCUGAAGAAUAAGCACCGGCUAACUACGUGCCAGCAGCCGCGGUAAUACGUAGGGUGCAAGCGUUAAUCGGAAUUACUGGGCGUAAAGCGUGCGCAGGCGGUUAUGCGAGACAGAUGUGAAAUCCCCGGGCUUAACCUGGGAACUGCAUUUGUGACUGCAUAGCUAGAGUACGGUAGAGGGGGAUGGAAUUCCGCGUGUAGCAGUGAAAUGCGUAGAUAUGCGGAGGAACACCGAUGGCGAAGGCAAUCCCCUGGACCUGUACUGACGCUCAUGCACGAAAGCGUGGGGAGCAAACA